AGGAGUUGCGGGAGCUUCAGGACGAGAAGGCAGAGCUGCAGAAGAUCUGCGAGGAGCAGGAACAAGCCCUCCAGGAAAUGGGCCUGCACCUCAGCCAGUCCAAGCUGAAGAUGGAAGAUAUAAAAGAAGUGAACCAGGCACUGAAGGGCCACGCCUGGCUGAAAGAUGACGAAGCGACACACUGUAGGCAGUGUGAGAAGGAGUUCUCCAUUUCCCGGAGAAAGCCUAGCUCUGUGGAAGAGAGGAAGCCACAGCUACCCCACCCGCUCCCCAACCCGAGUUUCAGGCAGUGCCUUGCAGUAAGCUCAGAGCUAGAAACCACGUCCUGAGGCUGCCUUUGAGAUCACAUGUGUCUACAAGGCCUGGCUGUCCCCAUCUGUGGAGUCAGAAGCAGAGGCUGCACAGCACCACUGCCGGAACUGUGGCCACAUCUUCUGCAACACCUGCUCCAGCAACGAGCUGGCCCUGCCCUCCUACCCCAAGCCGGUGCGAGUGUGCGACAGCUGCCACACCCUGCUCCUGCAGCGCUGCUCCUCCACGGCCUCCUGAACGUCCGUCCUCAGGAGCACAGCCUCACGGACAGUGCCAAACCCUGUGGGUCUCCAGGGGCUUGGGAAAUGUGUUCUUUCCCAAGAGUAUCAAAGGAAAGAAUCAAAUUUCUUGCCCGGUCACUGGCACUCCAGAAGACAGCGUGCCGGAACCGGCAGCUCUCACCUUUCUGUGACUUGUUCGGAAUUAACUCCUCUGGAUGGAAACUUCCAUCUUACUUGGUUACAUCACGGCUCUGGUUCAGAUACAACUUCAUGAUUUUGCUACUAUCAUUUUUCACUUUUCAAAGAAUUUAACCUAUUUUACAGCAGUUCAGUUCUGCUAGUGAGUAGUUUUCCUCUCCUACCUUCCUUCUAAAAACCUGAUUCAUGCACAGCGUUUGACACACAUGGAGUCUGCCAGUGUGCCUUCUCUGCUUCAGACAAGAGAUCUGCCAUUUCAUGCCCUUGUGACUACCUAUCAUUGGCCCUGCAAUAAAAUCAUUUAUUUUUCA
RNAcentral lists this long non-coding RNA (1042 nucleotides) under Homo sapiens (human). Its description in RNAcentral is "long non-coding RNA NONHSAT203696.1". The record is from RNAcentral. Lineage: Eukaryota; Metazoa; Chordata; Mammalia; Primates; Hominidae.